AUUGAACGCUGGCGGUAGGCCUAACACAUGCAAGUCGAGCGGAUGAGGGUAGCUUGCUACCUGAUUCAGCGGCGGACGGGUGAGUAAUGCCUAGGAAUCUGCCUGGUAGUGGGGGACAACGUUUCGAAAGGAACGCUAAUACCGCAUACGUCCUACGGGAGAAAGUGGGGGAUCUUCGGACCUCACGCUAUCAGAUGAGCCUAGGUCGGAUUAGCUAGUUGGUGGGGUAAAGGCUCACCAAGGCGACGAUCCGUAACUGGUCUGAGAGGAUGAUCAGUCACACUGGAACUGAGACACGGUCCAGACUCCUACGGGAGGCAGCAGUGGGGAAUAUUGGACAAUGGGCGCAAGCCUGAUCCAGCCAUGCCGCGUGUGUGAAGAAGGUCUUCGGAUUGUAAAGCACUUUAAGUUGGGAGGAAGGGCAGUAAGUUAAUACCUUGCCGUUUUGACGUUACCGACAGAAUAAGCACCGGCUAACUCUGUGCCAGCAGCCGAC
RNAcentral lists this ribosomal RNA (496 nucleotides) under uncultured bacterium. RNAcentral describes it as "bacterial SSU rRNA". It matches the Rfam family "Bacterial small subunit ribosomal RNA", at positions 30 to 518 of the family's 1533-position model. The record is from RNAcentral.